ACCUUACUUUACAGGUGAUUUGAUUAUGUACAAAAAAUGUACAAUGUAAAUAAAUUGAACCAAGUAAUGUACUAAAAUAUGCUAUGUUAUAAUUUAAAACUCGUUAUGUUAGUCUUUUGAAAAAAAUUAAACUCAAAAGAGAUAUACUUGUUUACAGUGCAAAUUAAGGGCAAUAAUAGGGAUUUACGAUUUAAUUUGCAGGAAAAACAUGGGCAACCUACCCAAUUGGUAAAAUUUCAAUUCAAAAACUCUUUAGAUUUUACUGUGUGGAUGUCACAGGAAGAGAAACAAAAUAAUAUUCAGUCACAGGAGUACAAGAACAUGAAACA
This is a long non-coding RNA of Diabrotica virgifera virgifera (western corn rootworm), 329 nucleotides long. RefSeq lists it as uncharacterized. NCBI's taxonomy places the organism in Eukaryota, Metazoa, Arthropoda, Insecta, Coleoptera, Chrysomelidae. The transcript has 2 exons. The record is from RefSeq and is a predicted model, not a curated record.